CUGGGGCCCCGCUCCGCCCCGCCGUAAUCUUUGCGUCCUUCCCGCUCGAUUUUGCAAGUAGGAUUGCGCCCAUCUUCCUGGAGAAGAAGGUGGGGUUUGGAGAGAACCCGGAAGCGGGGCGGGGGCGCAGGCUCCUAGGGCUUUUGUUGCCGGGUGCAUGGGCGUAGUGCCGAGGGUAGCAGGGCACGCCACUUCCGUGCGCUGCGUGCGCCGUGCGCUACGUGCGCACGACGGGCGGGAAUUGAAGAUUACGGCUAGCCUCGCCCCUGGCUCUGCCCCCUUGAAGCCCCGCCUAGGGGUUUCCAUGGUGAUGAUAAACUAGCCUCAAAUGCCUCAGCUAGGCCUCCGCAUUCCGUCCUCUAGGUGCUCAGAGGUACGACCGAGGUGCUGAAUGUGUAUAAGAGCGGGAGUGUGGAGACUCGAAACCCGAGCAGAGGGGUGGGACGGGAAGCGUGUUCGAGACCAGCACCCCUUGACCAACUGGGGACUCUUGGGGUCGGGACAGCGGGUCUGCGAUUUGGGAUGGGGGCGGAGUCGCUCUUUGCAGAGGCAGCAAGGAGUAUCCUUGGCUUCAGUGGAGGAGUCUUCAGCCCACCCGGGAGACGGAGACCGGAGGAGCCGGAAGGGGACGAAUUUGAGGAAAAUCCCUUUUUUAGGGCAGGGAUGUCGGGGGAGCCCUAGACGGAUCCGUAUCCUAGGACCUGGAGGUUUGAGAGGUCUGCGCCUGCCUGCGAGGACACCUUAAACGGUGCAGACGUGGUAACGGGACAGGACGUGGUGUGUGUGCCCCAGUAAUGAUAUGGGGUUCCUAAGGCAUCUUGGUUGCUGCCAGACACCAAGGGCACCUUAACUACCUCUCUUCCAGCCUAGGAGUGGACCCACAACUGCUUUCCCAGCCCUCUGUGUACAAGAAGGAGGGAGCCCCAAAACUCAAGCUGUCGCUGGAGCUUCUUGCAUCUUUUCAAGCUGUCAUCUCCUGCAGGUUUUGGACUAUGGAUACAACUCGCCACAAAAAGUCGUACCCAAGCGAGUUUGAUGCCUGUCCUAUCAGGUGUCUCUGCUGCUUGGUCCUGAAGGCCGUGGAGGACUGGUGGCCCAGCUCGUCCUGGUGCUUGUCUGCUGAGAUGUGCAGAAUUUCCAGAACUGAAUAUGGGGCAUCUGGUGUUGAUCUCAUUUUUUUGUUGGAUGCUAAUCAGAAGAUUAUAUCAAAUGGCCCUGAAAAAAGACAGAGAAACCAUGGGACACAGGUAUACUGAAGUAUUCUAGUCCCACAGAAAUGAAGCAGGUGGGUGUUGAAGCACAGUGAAACAUACUGUAUUAGUCAAGACAGCUGGUUUAUAGGAAACCUCUACUGAUUCCAGCCUAACCUUACAUGGGGAACCCAGGAACAACGAAUAGCUGUUUUUAUAGAAGUGGAAGCUGUGUAACCCAAUUUGCACCAUGAACUUGUGAAAUCAGUUGUUUAUUUUUUUAGAAUCCCUUUUCAGUAUUUCGUAAUGCCUCAAAAUGCUUCUUGCAUGUUGAGCUUAUUUCAAUUUAUAUUGUAGUGGCAUACCUCAGCAGUUGUAUAUUUAUAUUGAAGUAAUUUCAGUUCUGUGAAAUAACUUUUAUACCAUACUGAUCUAACACAUUCAGGAGACAUGCUUUUAAAAAAUUCUAUUAAAGGUCUUAGAUCCAUAAUAUUUCAAAAAUUUGAUGCUUUUUUUCCUUCUAAUCUUUUUUUCCCCCAUUUAAAAUCCUUUAAGGUAACUUCAGAUUUUACAACAUUAAAUUUGAAAAUUGAAAUAUAAUACCAAUACUGUUGGGUUUUGGUCUUUGUGACUAUGUGAAAUUGUGAAGCCUUAAUUUAAGCUUCUCUUUUUAUCAUUAUUUCCUUUUAGGUGUGCUUUGCUAAGUGAAACAUUUAAUAAUUUUGUUAGCAAAUUAAAUUAUUUUUCAAAGAAAGACUCUCAGGAUUCAGGAUAUAGUUGUGCUUGUGGCCAUGACUUAUUACCACAUAAGGAGGCAGAGUAGAAUCAGCAAAAAGGAAAAAAAGUGCCUGGGAUGAAGUCCAGAGGUAACUGGACAUGAGCUUCCCAGAAUCCUCUGUUAGUGGACUCCCACAGGAUGCACUGAAUUCCCCCGACAACUAGCUGCAGCACUCGUGGGAAGUGUUGUCUACCAGGGAAGUUUAUCAAAGGCUAGGAGUCCAGGGUGUUUCUUGGGGGUCAGUCAUGGAGGCAACAUGGUACCCAUAUGAUUGAUGAGGGAAGCAGGUGUUCAGCAGUGACCACAUCAUUUGUUAGUUUAGGUGUGUAUUGAGCCACUCUUAUCAUUUAGGGGAAGUUUUAUGUGAAUGUAGGCAACUGUUUCCCAGGUAAGUUCUCAGAUACCAGACAAGGGCCAGUCUUGCAAGCAGGCCUUUCUAAGCAGAGGAGGCUCAGGCCUGCUAUGUUAACUCUUUUUGGCAUGAAAUAUAAAUGGCACAAACACACCAGUGAAAUGACAGAUUGUCAGAGUGGAUUAAAAAAAGACUCAAUGUGUAUAAGAGUCAUUAUGUAUAUGACUACCUAUAAAUAAUAGGUAGUUUUAAAGAGAUGAGAAAAGGUAUAACAUGCAAACAGUAAAAAAAAAAAAAAAGGAUAUCUGAUGUGAAUGUAUUGCUAUCAGACAAAGCAGGCUUUUGAACAAUGAAAAUUACCAGAAAUAAAGAGUAUGUAAUGAAAAAAGACUGAGUAGCCAGAACUAUUUUGAAAAAGGAUAAAAUUGGAGGAAUCACACCACUACCCAAUUUUAAGACUUACUAUAAAGCUAUUGGAAUCAAGAGAGUAUGGUAUUGGUGGAAGGAUAGACUGGUUAGUGGGACAGAAUAGAGAGUCCAGAAAUUGACACAGACAUGGCCAAUUUUUGACAACAAAUUCAAUGGAAACAAUUUGCAACAAUUCAAUGGAAAAAGAAUAGUCCUAUAAAUAAGUGCUGGAACGACCAGAUGUCCAUCUGCAAAUAAAAUGAACCCUAACUGAAACCUCACACUUUACAUAUUAACUCAGAAUGGAUCACAGAUCCAACUAUAAAACUAUAAAGUGAUUUGUUAGUUAAACCCGUUAGGACUAUGUUGAAGUAACAGCAAUGAAAUAUAUCCUAAGAAUACCUCCCUUACGGUGUGUGUAACAUGAUGUGUACCACCACUGUUAUAAAUGAGGGAACAGGCAAAUAGAAAAUUGGCAACCUAAGGGCGCAGAGUUUGUAAAUGUGUCUCUCAGUGAUGGUUUAUGAGGGAUUUGUGUUGACAGAAGAGAUGGUGAAGAAAGGGAUGGGGUAGGAAGCAACUGUUUUAGAAGACAAUUUUUCUCAGGAGGGUCUGGAUAUCGGAAACUUGUUGCUUCUGCUGAUUCUGUUAAUAAAUCACAAUUCCCCAUCUGUAUGUAUUGCCUAUUCAAUUUCUUGGAAUCCCUACAUCAAAGGAAACACUGUAAUCCAUGGACUGGGAAGGUGAGAGGUUCACCCUCCCUGGUGGCGUGUGUCAGUUGUCCUGGGAUUGGACCCAGCUGGACUGCCCAAUGCUGAGAUGCUCCACCUGUCCUUACCUUACCCCACGUAAGAAGUUCUGUUUUGUAUCUGCACACAAUUUCUAGUUUGUCCUUAUAAAUGUCAUGCUUUUCUCAGUAAAGUUAUACCUUGAUACUUUUAUGUUUACAGCAAUACGAAUAGAAUUUCAUUGUAUUUAUCAAAUUACUAUUGGUGAACAGGGAAGUUUUCAGGUGAUUUGCUUAAAUUAAGUUCAAAUGUCCUGCUAGUAUUUCAGUAGUUCUUUUUCCUUUAGUUUUGUCUUCAAUUCAUUUUUAAAUUUAUUUAUUUAAAAAAAAAUUGGGGGGGGCUAGGUAAUUAGGCUUACUUUUUUGUUUUAUUUUUAGAGGAGGUGCUGGGGAUUGAACCUAGGACCAUGUGUAUGCUAAGCGUGCGCUCUAACACUUGAGCUAUAUCCUCCCGCCUCAAUUCAUUUUUAAAACUUGAUCUCUUUUUAAUAGGUAUUCUACUUCUGUUUCUUGAAUUAUUGUAUUGAUAAGAAUUUGGGGACAAUAUUAAUAAUGGUGAUGCUAAGUCUCCUUGUUUGGUUAUCAGAUUUAAUUUGGUGGAAUUAUUUUCGUGUUUUAUCAUUAGGUAAAAGGUUAUAUAGGGGCUAUCUAAAACCCUUAAUUCUGUUAGAAGAUUAUAUUAUCUCUGUUUUCUAAAGCCAUGUUCAGAACCUCAUGGCAUACCAUCUGUAUUCCAGGCACAAAACCCGUCUUUUCAUUUUUAUCGUAAUAAAAUCUGGGGUGGUGAUUUACUAUUUCAAUCACUCGUCUAAGACUUUCUACUUCCUGCCAUGAUCCCUGCUCUGUGGUUGUGACACAGACUACUUGUAUUAAUAGGGCUGCUGUGCAAAUUGCCACAGAUCUGGUGGCUUAAAAAGGGAAUUUAUUAUCUUACAGGGCUAGAGGCCAGAAGUUGGACAUCAAAGCAUCUGCAGAGUUGGCUCCUCCUGGUGGUUCCAAGAGGGAGUCCAUUCCAGUCCUCUCCUAGCUUCUGGUGGCUGCUGGCAAUCUUUGUUGUUCCUUGGCUUGGGACUGCCCUCUGAACUCUGCUGCCAUCUUCACAUGGCCUUUUCCUCUGUGUAUCUCUGUAUGUCUUCUUUCCUGUCUCUCAGAAAGACACCCUGCAUUGGAUUUACGGCCCACCCUAAUCCAGGAUAAUCUCACCUCCAGAUCCUUACUUGAACUACAUCUGCAAAGACCCUUAUUCCAAACAAGGUCACCUUCACAGCUUCCUGAGUUUAGAACUUGGACAUACUUUGCAGAGGCCACUAUUCAACCCAUGACAUUACUAAAUGUAACAACUUGCUCGAGUCCCUCUUGGUAGGAAUGAUGCCAGAUAUUCCUGGAUAGGAAGGUGAAUGAGAGUAAUGCCUUUAAUAUCACAUAUUCUAAUUCCAAGAAAAGAUAUAGAAUCCCUCACACUUUUAGAAUGACAUGUGUUAAGUAUAAUGAAGAGAU
Molecule: long non-coding RNA, 5012 nt
Organism: Camelus dromedarius (Arabian camel)
Lineage: Eukaryota; Metazoa; Chordata; Mammalia; Artiodactyla; Camelidae
Exons: 3
Source: RefSeq, a predicted model, not a curated record